RNAcentral lists this ribosomal RNA (279 nucleotides) under uncultured bacterium. Its description in RNAcentral is "partial 16S ribosomal RNA". It matches the Rfam family "Bacterial small subunit ribosomal RNA", at positions 506 to 784 of the family's 1533-position model. The record is from RNAcentral.
UGCCAGCCGCCGCGGUAAUACGGAGGGUGCAAGCGUUGUUCGGAAUUAUUGGGCGUAAAGCGCGUGUAGGCGGUUCGUUAAGUCUGAUGUGAAAGCCCGGGGCUCAACCCCGGAAGUGCAUUGGAAACUGGCGAACUUGAGUACGGGAGAGGAAAGUGGAAUUCCGAGUGUAGGGGUGAAAUCCGUAGAUAUCAGAAGGAACAUCAAUGGCGAAGGCAGCUUUCUGGACCAAUACUGACACUGAGGUACGAAAGCGUGGGUAGCGAACAGGAUUAGAUA